AUUGAACGCUGGCGGCAGGCCUAACACAUGCAAGUCGAGCGGAUGAAGGGAGCUUGCUCCUGGAUUCAGCGGCGGACGGGUGAGUAAUGCCUAGGAAUCUGCCUGGUAGUGGGGGAUAACGUCCGGAAACGGGCGCUAAUACCGCAUACGUCCUGAGGGAGAAAGUGGGGGAUCUUCGGACCUCACGCUAUCAGAUGAGCCUAGGUCGGAUUAGCUAGUUGGUGGGGUAAAGGCCUACCAAGGCGACGAUCCGUAACUGGUCUGAGAGGAUGAUCAGUCACACUGGAACUGAGACACGGUCCAGACUCCUACGGGAGGCAGCAGUGGGGAAUAUUGGACAAUGGGCGAAAGCCUGAUCCAGCCAUGCCGCGUGUGUGAAGAAGGUCUUCGGACUGUAAAGCACUUUAAGUUGGGAGGAAGGGCAGUAAGUUAAUACCCUGCUGUUUUGACGUUACCAACAGAAUAAGCACCGGCUAACUUCGUG
Molecule: ribosomal RNA, 484 nt
Filed under: uncultured bacterium
Lineage: Bacteria
Description: partial 16S ribosomal RNA
Rfam family: Bacterial small subunit ribosomal RNA
Source: RNAcentral